Carlito syrichta (Philippine tarsier) is the source of this 2415-nucleotide RNA transcript. It is a transcript of the gene named ralBP1-associated Eps domain-containing protein 1 pseudogene, with no coding region annotated. The transcript has a single exon. The record is from RefSeq and is a predicted model, not a curated record. Lineage: Eukaryota; Metazoa; Chordata; Mammalia; Primates; Tarsiidae.
GGGGCCCGGCCCCGGGUGUUGCAUGCGGGGCGGGGCGGCCGCGAGCCGGAGGCGAAGAUGGAACGCUUAACGCUGAGCGACGCGGAGCAGAAAUACGACUCGGAUCUCUUCUCCUACUGCGACAUCGAGAGUACCCAGAAGGUGGUGGUCAACGGGCGGGUGCUGGAGCCGUUCCGGGCCGCGCAGCUGCCCAACGACGUGGUCGUGCAGAUCAUGGAGCUUUGUGGUGCAAAAAGACUUGGUUAUUUUGGAAGAAGUCAAUUCUACAUCGUUUUGAAACUUGUAGCUGUUGCCCAGUCUGGUUUUCCUUUAAGAGUGGAAAGUAUAAAUCCAGUAAAGGACCUUCCUCUGCCAAGAUUUGUUGCUUCCAAGAAUGAACAGGAAUCUCGCCCUGCAGCCUCCUAUUCUUCCGAUUCUGAAAAUCAAGGAUCUUAUUCUGGUGUAAUUCCUCCACCACCUGGCAGAGGGCAAGUGAAAAAGGGAUCCAUAAGCCAUGAUACGGUUCAGUCUCGUACAUCUGCAGAUCCACAGGAACCUGCAUCCCCAGUAGUUUCACCACAGCAGUCCCCACCGACUUCUCCCCACACAUGGAGGAGGAAGCACAAUCGUCAUCCCAGUGGGGGGAAUAGUGAGAGGCCUCUUGCAGGACCUGGGCCGUUCUGGCCUCCCUUUGGUGAAGCACAAUCAGGUUCCUCUGCUGGUGAUGCGUGUGGUCAGGCCAUUCUCCACCUCCACCUCAAGAAAACUGGGUCAGUUUUGCAGAUACUCCACCAACGAGUACUCUUUUAACCAUGCAUCCUGCUUCUGUCCAGGACCAGACAACAGUACGAACAGUAGCAUCAGCUACAACUGCCAAUGAAAUUCGUAGGCAAUCCAGUAGUUAUGAUGAUCCCUGGAAAAUAACAGAUGAACAAAGACAGUAUUAUGUAAACCAGUUUAAAACCAUUCAGCCUGAUCUAAACGGAUUUAUUCCAGGAUCUGCAGCUAAACAGUUUUUUUUACAAAAUCAAAACUUCCUAUUCUUGAACUUUCUCACAUUUGGGAACUCUCAGACUUUGAUAAAGAUGGUGCGUUGACACUGGAUGAGUUUUGUGCUGCUUUUCAUCUGGUGGUUGCUAGGAAGAAUGGCUAUGACUUACUAGAAAAAUUUCCUGAAAGCUUAAUGCCCAAACUGAUUGAUUUGGAAGAUUCAGCAGAUGUUGGGGAUCAGCCAGGUGAGGUAGGUUAUUCAGGCUCUCCUGCCGAAGCUCCUGCAAGCAAGUCACCAUCAAUGCCGUCGUUAAACCAGACAUGGCCAGAGCUGAUUCAGAGCAUUGAGGACACUGCUAUUGUUCAUCCAGUUCCUAUUCGUAUGACUCCAAGUAAAAUCCACAUGCAGGAAAUGGGACUUAAAAGAACUGGCAGUGAUCAUACGAAUCCCACUAGCCCAUUACUUGUGAAACCUUCUGACCUUUCAGAAGAAAAUAAGAUAAAUUCGUCAGUGAAAUUUGCUUCUGCAAAUACCAUAGCAGAUGGUUACAGUAGUUCAGACUCUUACUUCUGACCCAGAACAGAUCGGGAGCAAUGUAACUCGUCAAAAGUCUCAUUCAGGAACGUUGCCUGAUAACACUGCAACACCACCUCCCCCUCCAAGGCCACAGCCCUCUCAUUCUAGAUCAUCAUCUUUAGAUAUGAAUCGAACCUUUACAGUCACCACAGGACAACAGCAGGCUGGAGUUGUUGCCCAUCCUCCUGCAGUGCCUCCAAGACCACAACCCUCACAGGUUCCUGGUCCCGCUGUUCAUCGCCCAGUGAAUGCCAAUGGCCUCAUAACUCACACUAGUACCUUAUCUCAGCAGAUACCAGAACAACCAAAUUUUGCAGAUUUCAGCCAGUUUGAAGUAUUUGCUGCGUCAAAUGUAAAUGAAGAACAAGAUGAUGAAGCCGAGAAACAUCCAGAGGUCUUGUCGGUUGAAAAAGCUUCUGAUCCUGCAGGUUCUCUUCGAGUUGCCAAAACAGAUAGUAAAAUUGAAGAAAAGACAGCUGCUAGUGCUCCUGCCAAUGUGAGCAAAGGCACAACACCUCUUGCUCCACCACCUAAGCCUGUUAGAAGAAGAUUAAAAUCAGAAGAUGAAUUAAGGCCAGAAGUCGAUGAACAUACACAAAAGACAGUUGUCUUAGCUGCUGUCUUGCAUCACAACCUUCUAUUCCUAGAUCUAUUGGGAAAGAUAAGAAAGCUAUUCAGGCAUCAAUUAGACGGAAUAAGGAAACCAACAUAGUUCUGGCCAGAUUGAAUAGUGAAUUGCAGCUACAAUUAAAGGAUGUUCUUGAGGAGAGAAUUUCCCUGGAAGUUCAACUGGAACAACUUCGACCAUUCUCUCACCUAUAAGCCAAUUGCCGUUAACUGUGAACAUACUUAUUUUUAAGUGGUUUUGG